This 181-nucleotide ribosomal RNA is filed under the name uncultured bacterium. RNAcentral describes it as "partial 16S ribosomal RNA". It matches the Rfam family "Bacterial small subunit ribosomal RNA", at positions 1320 to 1500 of the family's 1533-position model. The record is from RNAcentral.
AUGAAGCUGGAAUUGCUAGUAAUGGCAGGUCAGCAUACUGCCGUGAAUACGUUCCCGGGCCUUGUACACACCGCCCGUCACACCAUGGGAGUUGGAAAUACCCGAAGCCUGUGAGCUAACAGUAAUGAGGCAGCAGUCGAAGGUAGAGCCAAUGAUUGGGGUGAAGUCGUAACAAGGUAAC